Molecule: non-coding RNA, 1377 nt
Organism: Pelobates cultripes (western spadefoot toad)
Lineage: Eukaryota; Metazoa; Chordata; Amphibia; Anura; Pelobatidae
Source: the annotation of a GenBank genome assembly
AUGGUUAAUAAUCUGAACAAACUAGAUAGCCCUAUUAAAUUUACAUCAGAGAUCAGUACUGAUAAAGUACAUUUUCUUGAUUUACAAAUUUGGGUUGAGAAUAACCGUAUACAGUAUUCAUUGUACACUAAACCCACGGAUCGAAAUACUAUUUUACACGCACAAAGUGCGUAUCCAGAACGACUCAAGUCUCCAUUACCUAAGGCACAAUUUUUGAGAACCAUUCGGAAUAACUCGAAUGAGGGAAUAAGAGAAGAGCAAUUAAAACAUAUGAAAAUGAAAUUUCUGAAUCGUGGAUACAAUAAUAAACAAUUGGAUGAAGCAUUACAACAGGCCAGAGAAUUUACUCCAAAGGAAGUUGUAACAAAGAAUCAUUUGAUCUGUUCAACAACAUACAACGAUAUAUCGAUUAAGCUAUCGAAUACUGUUAAAAGAAAUUGGAACAUGUUGGCUCAAGAAUCCACACUCCCUUCAAUAUUUAAAGAGGAAUUUACGUGAUAUAUUGGUGAAAACAGACCCAACACAAAGUUAUGUGCGGGAAGGGAAGACACAGCAACGUGGCAGUGUCAGAUGUUUAGGUUGCGUGACAUGUAGCCACAUGGUACCGUCACGGACCUUUAAGAACCCCCAUACCAAUAAGAAGUUCCAAAUAAAUCACACAAUCACCUGUAAAACACCAUUCGUAAUAUAUAAACUUACCUGUCCUUGCGGUUUAUCUUACAUAGGUAAAACUGAGACUCCCUUAUGUGAGCGUAUCAGAGGACAUCGAUCAAAUAUUCGUACAGCUUAUAGGGAUGGUAAUAGUGACAAACUGGUUGCAAAGCAUUUUUUUAGAUCUACAACAUCCUCUUACAUCUCUCAAAUUCACUGCAAUAGAUCAUAUCCCGGAACCACGUCGAGGGGGUGAUAGAGGAAAGAUGCUUCUUAAUAGAGAAACCUAUUGGAUUUUCCGUCUUAAUACAGUCUCACCAAAAGGCUUUAAUGAAAUGAUCUCGUAUCACUCUUUUCUCUGAUAUAACUCCUGCCUGUAUAUAUUGUUUUUAAUUUAGGUGGCAGAUUAUUGGUUAUUGAUUAUGUAGCUUAAAGUCCUAUAGUCUGUUAUGUAGGUUAUUUAAGUAAGUCUAAAUACCUUGGACUAUAGAUAUUGGAGUGACUUAUAGCGUUAUUCACGCAUGCGCGCUGGCUGACAGAGAACGCCGAUUUCCAGAUUUCACAUGUGUGGUGAGUUACAUAUCCAUAAUUAAUGUAGCUAUAUAUUGAAUGUUGUUGUAAGUGUAGUGUAUGUCAUUUGAUCCUGAGGAAGGUCCCUGCGUGGACCAAAACGUUGAUCUCGUUCAUUUUAUGGAAUAAAGAAAUUACUUCAUUACUUAGACCGUG